This 126-nucleotide small RNA is filed under the name Arabidopsis thaliana (thale cress). Its description in RNAcentral is "ATSL054230". Lineage: Eukaryota; Viridiplantae; Streptophyta; Magnoliopsida; Brassicales; Brassicaceae. The record is from RNAcentral.
AUACAAUUUUUUAGGAGCAUCAGAAAAUAAAGGAAUCUUAAGCAGAAAGUCCGAGGAGAGUGUAACUGGGAAUACAAUUUUUAAAGGAUUUCUUGGCUAUAUUUGUUUAGUUCCUAUCUCUAUAUU